This 215-nucleotide unclassified non-coding RNA is filed under the name uncultured Inocybe. Its description in RNAcentral is "sequence contains ITS1". Lineage: Eukaryota; Fungi; Basidiomycota; Agaricomycetes; Agaricales; Cortinariaceae. The record is from RNAcentral.
UUGAAUAAACAUUUGAUAGGCUGUUGCUGGCCCUUGGUAGUGUGCACGCUUGUCAUUUAUUUGUUUGUUUUUCCACCUGUGCACCUUUUUGUAGACCUUAGAAUUUGGGGACUGCUGUGCGAGUGCCAGCUUUUCCUUGUCUCUCUCUAGGUUCUAUGUUUUUCACAUACUCCUACGAAUGUAAUAGAAUGUUGAUCUGGGUAUAAAGUUAUAUA